UACACCUUAGUUUAUGUUGAAUUAAAGUUUUUGAUACUUUAGGGGGUAGUUCAAUUCUACUAGGUGUAA
RNAcentral lists this transfer RNA (69 nucleotides) under Spinolyprops cribricollis. Its description in RNAcentral is "tRNA-Gln". The record is from RNAcentral. Lineage: Eukaryota; Metazoa; Arthropoda; Insecta; Coleoptera; Tenebrionidae.